AAGAUUUCAGACUCCUGUUUGAUGAGGUCACUGCCAACAAAUUCUUGGAGAGGUGGCCCAUCGAUCUCAAAUCAAAGAUUGUAAAGGAAAGUCAUGGACUUGUACCCACCUCGGAGCUCUUGGAGUUGAUGUGCAAUGCUGAGUCAGCUACUGAAGUUGAGAAUGGCUGGGACAGUGACAUGUCUGCUAUCUUGCUGCUGCUACAUCUGCUACCGCCAUCUGCACAAGGGUGAAAGAGACCAGGAAAGAUGUCUGCAUCUCAAGCUGUCGAUAACCUCAUCAAAUUCCUAAAGGCUGGAACCAGUGUACAGCAGCAUCUAGACAACAUCACCCGAAGCAGUCAGCCCUACCUUCUUGCUCAGGGACCCACAAGAAGCAGCAUCCACACCUUCUUCAUUGUGAUUGACAAGCAUGCACUUCCAUGUAAAGCGACAGGUUCAGUAGGAGCCCUUGAUGAACUCUUUAAGGCCCAUUAUGUCUUUGAUACGUCAUACAGUUCAUCCCUGACCAACUUUUUCACUUUUCUGCAAACAACCAUUUACAACAUUGAUGUUGGGGAAACAAAGGAAACUCCCAGAGUUGCGAGCAAGAAUGGUGCGUUAGUAUCCAUUGAGAUCAAAAUAAUGAAGUGCUUUCUUUGCAAAAGUGAUCAUGGUAGACCAAACAGCCUUGUAAAACACCUUAAGGUAAUUCAUGGUCUCUGUACUGGGAGGACACUAUAUCUCAAAUGUGGCCAAGUGGGAUGCUCACGUUCUUUUAGUAGUUUUUCUGGCUUUAGAAAGCACCUGAACAAAUGCCACGUAAGCAGUUCAUUUGAUUCUGCAGAACUAGAUUUUUCACCAGUUCAAAGUGUUACGGACACAAGUACUACUGCUAAUGUUGAUGUGGUGCCUGAACAUUUAGAGCAUAGGUGUCAAACUCUGGCCCGCGGGCCAGAUUUGGCC
Non-coding RNA from Maylandia zebra (zebra mbuna), 944 nucleotides. The record is from RefSeq and is a predicted model, not a curated record. NCBI's taxonomy places the organism in Eukaryota, Metazoa, Chordata, Actinopteri, Cichliformes, Cichlidae.